Molecule: ribosomal RNA, 465 nt
Filed under: uncultured bacterium
Lineage: Bacteria
Description: partial 16S ribosomal RNA
Rfam family: Bacterial small subunit ribosomal RNA
Source: RNAcentral
GACGAACGCUGGCGGCGUGCUUAACACAUGCAAGUCGAACGGAAAGGCCCUGCUUGCAGGGUCCUCGAGUGGCGAAAGGGUGAGUAAAACGUGGGUGUUCUGCCCUGCACUUCGGGAUAAGCCUGGGUAACUGGGUCUAAUACCGGAUAGGCGCCUUUUUUAGUGAGAUGGGUGGAAAGUUUUUUCGGUGUAGGAUGAGCUCGCGGCCUAUCAGCUUGUUGGUGGGGUAAUGGCCUACCAAGGCGGCGACGGGGAGCCGGCCUGAGCGGGUGGACGGCCACAGUGAGACUGGGAGACAGCCCAGACCCCAACGGGAGGCAGCGGUGGGGAAGAGGGCUCAAGGGGCGCGAGCCUGAUGCAGCGACGCCGCGGGGGGGUGGACGGCCUUCGGGUUGGAAUCUCCAUGCGCUAGGGACGAAGCUGUUUGUGACGGUACCUAGAUAAGAAGCACCGGCUAACUACGUG